RNAcentral lists this ribosomal RNA (460 nucleotides) under uncultured bacterium. RNAcentral's name for it is "partial 16S ribosomal RNA". It matches the Rfam family "Bacterial small subunit ribosomal RNA", at positions 338 to 795 of the family's 1533-position model. The record is from RNAcentral.
CCUACGGUUGGCAGCAGUGAGGAAUAUUGGUCAAUGGGCGCGAGCCUGAACCAGCCAAGUCGCGUGAGGGAGGACGGCCCUACGGGUUGUAAACCUCUUUUGCCGGGGAGCAACGGGCGUCACGUGUGGCGUCACUGAGAGUACCCGGAGAAAAAGCAUCGGCUAACUCCGUGCCAGCAGCCGCGGUAAUACGGAGGAUGCGAGCGUUAUCCGGAUUUAUUGGGUUUAAAGGGUGCGUAGGCGGAUCGUUAAGUCAGUGGUCAAAUUGAGGGGCUCAACCCCUUCCCGCCAUUGAAACUGGCGAUCUUGAGUGGAAGAGAAGUAUGCGGAAUUCGUGGUGUAGCGGUGAAAUGCUUAGAUAUCACGAAGAACUCCGAUUGCGAAGGCAGCCUACUAAACUGCCACUGACAUUGAUGCUCGAAAGUGUGGGUAUCAAACAGGACUAGAUACCCGAGUAGUC